UGGGGAAUAUUGCACAAUGGGCGAAAGCCUGAUGCAGCAACGCCGCGUGAGGGAUGACGGCCUUCGGGUUGUAAACCUCUUUUAGUAGGGAAGAAGCGAAAGUGACGGUACCUGCAGAAAAAGCACCGGCUAACUACGUGCCAGCAGCCGCGGUAAUACGUAGGGUGCGAGCGUUGUCCGGAAUUAUUGGGCGUAAAGAGCUCGUAGGCGGUCUGUCGCGUCUGCUGCGAAAACCCGAGGCUCAACCUCGGGCUUGCAGUGGGUACGGGCAGACUAGAGUGCGGUAGGGGAGAAUGGAAUUCCUGGUGUAGCGGUGGAAUGCGCAGAUAUCAGGAGGAACACCGAUGGCGAAGGCAGUUCUCUGGGCCGUAACUGACGCUGAGGAGCGAAAGCGUGGGGAGCGAACAGGAUUAGAUACCCUGGUAGUCCACGCCGUAAACGUUGGGCGCUAGAUGUGGGGACCAUUCCACGGUUUCCGUGUCGCAGCUAACGCAUUAAGCGCCCCGCCUGGGGAGUACGGCCGCAAGGCUAAAACUCAAAUGAAUUGACGGGGUCAUAGCUG
RNAcentral lists this ribosomal RNA (562 nucleotides) under uncultured bacterium. RNAcentral's name for it is "partial 16S ribosomal RNA". It matches the Rfam family "Bacterial small subunit ribosomal RNA", at positions 355 to 932 of the family's 1533-position model. The record is from RNAcentral.